GUGCCAGCCGCCGCGGUAAUACGUAAGGACCGAGCGUUGUCCGGAAUCAUUGGGCGUAAAGGGUACGUAGGCGGCUAGAAAAGUUAGAAGUCAAAGGCUAUAGCUCAACUAUAGUAAGCUUCUAAAACUAUUUAGCUUGAGAGAUGGAAGGGAAAGUGGAAUUCCUAGUGUAGCGGUGGAAUGCGCAGAUAUUAGGAGGAAUACCGGUGGCGAAGGCGACUUUCUGGCCAUUUUCUGACGCUGAGGUACGAAAGCGUGGUAGCAAACAGGAUUAGAUA
This 278-nucleotide ribosomal RNA is filed under the name uncultured Eubacteriales bacterium. Its description in RNAcentral is "uncultured Clostridiales bacterium partial 16S ribosomal RNA". It matches the Rfam family "Bacterial small subunit ribosomal RNA", at positions 505 to 784 of the family's 1533-position model. Lineage: Bacteria; Bacillati; Bacillota; Clostridia; Eubacteriales. The record is from RNAcentral.